AUCUAUGGCUCAAUACAUGCCAUGGGCUCAAUUAUGGCUUUCAAAUGCGUGCUAUGGGGCCAGAUCUGUGGGCUCAAUGCAGUGCUAUGGGGCUCAGAUCUAUGGGGCUCAAUGCAGUGCUAUGGGGCUCAGAUCUAUGGGGCUCAAUACAGUGCUAUGGGGCUCAGAUCUAUGGGGCUCAAUGCAGUGCUAGGGCUCAGGAUCUAUGGGGCUCAAUAAAGAGCUAUGGGGCUCAGAUCUAUGGGGCUCAAUGCAGUGCUAUGGGGCUGAGGUGUAGGGCUAUGGCCUUGUUCUAUGGGGGGUGGGGGUGACUUGGGGGGCAGGGGGCUGUGGGGCUCAAUACAUUGCUAUGGGGCUCAGAUCUAUGGGGCUCAAUACAUUGCUAUGGGGCUCAGAUCUAUGGGGCUCAAUACAGUGCUAUGGGGCUCAGAUCUAUGGGGCUCAAUAUUGCAGUGCUAUGGGGCUUCAGAUCUAUGGGGCUCAAUACAUUGCUAUGGGGCUCAGAUCUAUGGGGCUCAAUGCAGUGCUAUGGGGCUCAGAUCUAUGGGGCUCAGAUCUAUGGGGCUCAAUACAGUGCUAUGGGGCUCAAUGAAUGGGGGAACAGCAAUGAAGGGACAUCAAUGGAGGGGACAGCAAUAUGGGGGACACCAAUGAGGGGGACAUCAAUGGAGGGGACAUCAAGGAGAGGGACAUUCAAUGGGGUGGGGCAUCAAUGAGGUGGGGACAUUAGAAACGGGCACCCAAGCAAUGGGGACUGAAUG
RNAcentral lists this long non-coding RNA (761 nucleotides) under Coturnix japonica (Japanese quail). RNAcentral describes it as "lncRNA (ENSCJPG00005001527.1)". The record is from RNAcentral. Lineage: Eukaryota; Metazoa; Chordata; Aves; Galliformes; Phasianidae.